RNAcentral lists this ribosomal RNA (467 nucleotides) under uncultured bacterium. RNAcentral's name for it is "bacterial SSU rRNA". It matches the Rfam family "Bacterial small subunit ribosomal RNA", at positions 329 to 793 of the family's 1533-position model. The record is from RNAcentral.
UUCCAGACUCCUACGGGAGGCAGCAGUGAGGAAUAUUGGUCAAUGGGCGGGAGCCUGAACCAGCCAAGUCGCGUGAGGGAUGACGGCCCUAUGGGUUGUAAACCUCUUUUGCCGGGGAGCAAAGUGCCGCACGUGUGCGGUUUGGAGAGUACCCGGAGAAAAAGCAUCGGCUAACUCCGUGCCAGCAGCCGCGGUAAUACGGAGGAUCCGAGCGUUAUCCGGAUUCAUUGGGUUUAAAGGGUGCGUAGGUUGUUUUAUAAGUUAGCGGUGAAAUACCGAUGCUCAACAUCGGGGCUGCCGCUAAUACUGUAGGACUAGAGAUCGGAUGCAGCAGGCGGAAUGUGUAGUGUAGCGGUGAAAUGCAUAGAUAUUACACAGAACACCGAUUGCGAAGGCAGCUUGCUAGGCCGGAUCUGACACUGAUGCACGAAAGCGUGGGGAUCGAACAGGAUUAGAUACCCUUGUAC